This is a long non-coding RNA of Athalia rosae (coleseed sawfly), 1764 nucleotides long. RefSeq lists it as uncharacterized. The record is from RefSeq and is a predicted model, not a curated record. Lineage: Eukaryota; Metazoa; Arthropoda; Insecta; Hymenoptera; Athaliidae. The transcript has 7 exons.
CGCCACGUCUGUGGGUGAAGACAACAUAAUACUGACGCAAUCAUGUGGCACGCAUGGUUUAUUAAUCCGGUGAUGGUUCUUAAUCGUUUAGAUAUCUCCGGACUCCCCGGACCACUGAAGCUUUUUAGCUGUCCUGCUUUAUGUGACUAGAUGGACACCAUGAUGGAAAAAACAGAAGCGAAAUAUAAAUAUCAAGUGUCGCUUAUUACGUAACGACAAUUCUAUACGAUGCUACUCACAAUGACUGAAGAUUCGUCACGCGAUCAUAUGGACAUUACAACAAUACGGACGAGUACAAUUAAAGGCGCCGCAGCAAACUGAGAGAGAGGAAGUUUUAGUUUUCUAUUCCGUUUACAAUGAUAUUUGAAUCAAACGAUCGUAGACCAACUCAGAGGAGGAGACUGCAGUGAUGAGGUUGUACUGAAGGAAAAAUUACCGCCUCUCCUUCAACUUGAAGAUUUGAUUCGCGAAAAUCGAUGUUUACACCUUCGCACAGUCCCAUAAAUCGAAAUGUGGAUCCAUUAUGAACACGAAACUUAUAUGGUCGGAUUUUAAAGUGUGAUGAAAUAUUUUAUAUCCAGACACACGUAAGUGGGGGAUGGUGAACUGGUUUCUAUGUGUUAUUUAUUCAGUAUCAUUCUUCCUUCAACGUGCUGCUAAGAGGUCACUUCGUUGAGGCACGACUCGAUUACCCCACAUCAAGACAACAGAGUGUGGAAAAAAAAUUUCGUUGGCGCAUUUCUUCAUUGAAUUUAGGAUUGGUAUUGCACGAGCGAAUAGGAUGUUUCAUUUUCAGCCUUUGGAAUGGUUGCAAAGCCGCAGUACUUUAAUUUUUUGUUUCCUUAUUUCAGUUCAGGUGAAAAGAUCCUCGCAUUUCGACCGUGCAUCAAGAGAGAAGGAUAUACGGAUUCCAGGACGUCCUCGUUGGUCGAUGAUCUACGACGCAAGUUGUACGGUUCGUUCUUCUCCACGCCCCGUACCGCGCUACUCGACGGUUAGCUAGCCGUGAAUCCAGGGAAAAUACCAAGCGAAAACAUACCGAAAAAAUUUCUCCGCAAUCGAGUGAUUGCGGUUGAAGUUGCGGACCAUUGACGUCAUCUUUGAUCGCGCAGCGCUAUCUUCUUGGAAACGGUGAUGUAGCCGAUGGUAACACAAGGCAGUAGCUAUGGGUUGUAGAAACAGCACGUCAUAAGCAAAAUGGGCUGGUGCGCGCUACGAAGUGCGCCCACACCGCUACCACUGCGGCUCUUCGCUUGAUUUUACUGUCAACUUUCUGUCUACAAAAUUCCAGUACACAGCAAGCUUGAUUCGAAUAAUUCCGGAUGACUAACACGUAGCCUGCUGUCCACCGAUGCUGGCCCAUUGUCGGCAAUCUGUAGUACAAACAACGGCAUAUUUUGGAAUUCUCGUCCACCCCUGAUACUGAACCCAAAGCCCCGCGUUCCCCUGGUCAACUCAACAGCGUGGUAUUGUCCACCAUCCCCGUCGCCUGCUUGUUCAUCCUGUAGAACGGGAUUCACCGAUGUGUCGAUUAGGUUCGAUUCAAUAUGGCUGUGACACGAAAUACCUUUUGCGAUAACGAGGGAGUGCUGCAGCAAUUAUCAUCCAAUGGAUAACCGAUGCUGUCCACACUUCGCCGCUGGAGACCCCUCGAUGAUUCUCCCUAUAGUAGAACCUGCCUUAUUCAAUGAUGAUAUGAUGACAAAUCCGAAUCCUUCAUUUUCCACCCUUGACACGGAGAUAUCGUAUGGAUACUGUGGAUUC